Long non-coding RNA from Limulus polyphemus (Atlantic horseshoe crab), 623 nucleotides. RefSeq lists it as uncharacterized. Lineage: Eukaryota; Metazoa; Arthropoda; Merostomata; Xiphosura; Limulidae. The record is from RefSeq and is a predicted model, not a curated record. The transcript has 3 exons.
GAUGAUGUAGCUUUCCGUCAAGGUAAGUGAGAAUGGUCGAUGAUGUAGCUUUCCGUCAAGGUAAGUGGGAAUGGUCGAUGAUGUAGCUUUCCAUCAAGGUAAGUGAGAAUGGUCGAUGAUGUAGCGUUCCCGUCAAGGUAUGUGAGAAUGGUCGAUGAUGUAGCGUUCCCGUCAAGGUAUGUGAGAAUGGUCGAUGAUGUAGCGUUCCCGUCAAGGUAAGUGAGAAUGGUCGAUGAUGUAGUUUUCCGUCAAGAUAAGUGAGAAUGGCCGAUGAUGUAGCUUUCCAUCAAGGUAAGUGAGAAUGGUCGAUGAUGUAGUUUUCCGUCAAGAUAAGUGAGAAUGGCCGAUGAUGUAGCUUUCCAUCAAGGUAAGUGAGAAUGGUCGAUGAUGUAGCUUUGCAUCAAGGUAAGUAAGAAUGGUCGAUGAUGUAGCUUUCCGUCAAGGUAUGUGAGAAUGGUCGAUGAUGUAGCUUUGGAUCAAGGUAAGUGAGAAUGGUCGAUGAUGUAGCGUUCCCGUCAAGGUAUGUGAGAAUGGUCGAUGAUGUAGUUUUCCGUCAAGGUAUGUGAGAAUGGCCGAUGAUGUAGUUUUCCAUCAAGGUAAGUGAGAAUGGUCGAUGAUGUAAU